AGAACAUCGAGCAAUUACCAGCUACGCCAGAAGACAUCGACUCUGGCCCAUAAACGUCAGGCAAAAGAAAAACUUCUGACUCCUUGGAAAGCACUUCAGAAGUCCUUGAUUUCGGGCCAUCAACUUCUAAGAAGAAGAAGUCUCAUCUAGAGGCUUAAAUACAACAAAAGAAGAAGUCGGACGAAAAGCUUGAAAACUUCCUGGAGGAAAGUUUAAGGAAGAAGGAGGAGAGAGCUCAAGAAAAGGC
Molecule: long non-coding RNA, 247 nt
Organism: Rhagoletis zephyria (snowberry fruit fly)
Lineage: Eukaryota; Metazoa; Arthropoda; Insecta; Diptera; Tephritidae
Source: RefSeq, a predicted model, not a curated record